UGACACGGUGAAAUGUCGAUUUAAGGAGGUAACUGCACACUGUAAAUAGGCCAGAGAUUUUUAGUAACUGUGACGAUUACCACAAGGGAAAGCUAAACAAAUGUUAGGAGAUGGAAAAGUAAACCUGUGGGCACUGCUAGGUUGUGAAGAGGCUUUUGGCCAGGGUGGAUAAUAGGGGACAGGACAGGAUACAACAAAAUAUGUAUGUUAACAAACUCCAUUAGGCUUAUAAAAAACCUUUAAAAACAUGCUUCCUCCCCUUAGAAGCACAGAGAAGGCAAGUAGUCCCACUAUAGAAAACAAAAUGUUAUUUUUGAAUCUGAAAAUGAUUAAGUCAAAUAACAAAAAAAUGAAGUGAUUAGUGUUUAUCCCACUAAAAAGCUACCAUCAGAAAUACACAACUCACCCUAGAGUAUUAUACUUAUUUUCCAGCUUUUAUUUAUGUGCAGAAAAAAAGGCAUUAAGCCUUUCAUGUGAAAAAAUGUCCAGAAGUUAUGAAAGACAUGUCUGUGCUGUAAUGUAAAUGUUGAAAUACCUGAGUUAGCUUAAAACAAGAACUAGAACACUUUAGUGGUGAUAAACUGGCAGCUUAUCAGCAACAGUGGAUUUUCCCUCCUAUGUUUCUCAGUCAGAAACAACCAGGGAAGAUAGCUGGGUAUGGGCUUCUCAGAGUAGGACAGCUGAGACCUUUGCUGAAGUAGGUGAACUGCUCCAAGUAUCCCAGCUUGGUCCUUUGAAAGCAGCCUGGAUGUCUCCCUACUUGAGCAAAAAUUGCAGCAAUUUAGGAGGCACCAUGUCUUGGGAAAAAAAAAAAGGCCAUCAAACUGAAAUAGGAAAAAAAGCCAAGCAACCAAAGAAACUAAAAAUCCAGACCAAACCAAACCAAACAACCCCCAACCCAAAAACACACACAAAACUCCCCCAAAGUCCACUUCUUGCAACAACUGUACAUUUAAAGGAUGAGGAUCCAACACCCAUGAGCUAUUUAUGUGCCUUGCAAGGAUAUAAAAAGUUGCAAUAAUAAAUCAGAGAAAAAGUUUUGAAAGGGAUCGUUAUCACCGUAAUGGGUUGUGUUUAAAGGAUAAACCAGCCUUUCCUUUCUGAAGGCAGGAAGAAGCUUUUCAUGUUGGGGCAGCUCUUUCUGUGGUCACCUACUGAGUAGACUUUGCUGCACCUCAUACUAAGCUGCGACUGCCCGCAGUUGAAGACAGGAUACCAUGGUAUACCAACCACUGGUAUCUUUUAGUAUGGGAGCUUUUUUUUCCAUAAAGCUCAACCAGGAAACCUGAAAGAAGUGUGGUUUGGGGAGCUCAAGUUGAGGUAAGAGACAAGGUAGGUACUGCAGACGGAUUUUUCCAUUGCAUUAGUUCUGCAUUGAAAAUGUGUGCUAAGAUGUUUGGGUUUGUUUGGUUUUUGUUUGGGAUUUGUGUUUGUUCAGUUUUUUGUUCAGUUGGGUUUGGUUUUAAAAAUAUUUUCCAGUAUGUUACUGUCUUUUUGCUACCUAUAUAGUUUAUUUUUUAAUGAUAAUAAAGGAACUUUUUAUUAGUAGAUUGCUGUGCCAACCAUAGAAUUUUAAUAUACCUUCAAGAUAAGGCCCUGACAAGGUCCCAUGUAAAUCAGAUACAGCUGUUUCCUAAAUCCAGUCGUUCCUGCCUUGCUGAUUUCUAGUAAUUACCUCAUCUACAAGAAAUACUGUAUUCCUGUAUUGUGCUCCUGAGUAUACUGUUUCUAUUAGCUUGCCUACUGCUGAGAUAUCUCAGAGUUUUGGUUUAGGAUUCUUUGUUUGGGGUUUUUUAUAAUUUUUUUUUCAUUUGAGUAAGUCAUAUGGGUGUUGCACCUUGCAUCACCAGUAUUCCCAGUAGUUUAGGAAAGGUUUUGGUGUACACACUCCUUGCCUCCCUUGAGGUCUGCCUCUGGAUAUUUGAGAUGAGGGCUUGUUUACAUACUGUGGAGUUUUGUCAGUCAUAAGAUGGGAUGCCCAAAGUUGGCAUUCUGGCUGAUCAUAAUUUUUUCACAACCUUUCCUGAGAGAUGUAUAUCUGUUUUUGUCAUUUAGUCCCUGGAUUUUGGAGCAAUUACUCAAAGAAUUAAUGUAAUGUCAACAAAUUACCCCAGUCUCUCUCAGAGGCCUUUUGCCUCCAGAUGCAACAUAGUUCCAGAGGGUUUUUUUAAUGUCCGCAUCUCUGAAAAUGUGGGACUUAAUUUGUGUAUUUGUUCUAUGUCACUUAAGCCUGUUAUGAUUUUCAGGGUCAUCUUGCCCUAUUUCUGGUCCCAUUACAAUAAAACUCCUGAGAAUUAAUUUAUCUUAAGGUGUUUAAGUAUUUCUAUUGUGUUUCACAUUGUUUUAAUAACUUGAUGUGAAAAGGAAUCUACUUCCUGGAUAAAAUAUAGUUUAUUUCUCAGAUUCAGUGAUACGCUGCCUUCCCAUUGCAAAUAGAGGGUCUCUGUCAUGCUUUAAGGAAAACAUAAAUAUAUUUUCUGUAAAAACUCAUUUUGGUGUGGUUUGCUUUCUUCUCUGAGUAGAACAGAUCAAACCAUGCAGAAAUCAGACUGAAAGCCUGAUGGGGACAUAGUUCUGCUUGCAGUAGUAGUAACCUCUUGUCCCAUCAGCCACUUGAUUCUUUCACAUUAUGCACUCCAUGUCCCUUCUGUUCAUAUGGAAUGACUUUUUUCCUUCUCUUUUUCCUUGUAAACAUUUCUUUCCAAGAACAGUAUUGGCAUAAUAUCGAAAGUGAGAUAUACUGUGCAAUUUCAUGUGUGUGAACUUCACCUAAAUUUUCCAGAUUUUGUUUCAUAGCUUUUCUUUGACUUUACUCAUGUUCACAAUCAGUCCUAUACAAGGCUUUUGAAAAUAGUAGAAAAAUUCCUGACUCUAUUCAUGAUCAUUUUCCAUGCCUUUUGGAUUGCAGUGAUUGCUGUUUUCCAAACUGCACAGAUGAAGAAACGGCUUCUGUGAAUUGUCUUCCACUGAUUUUUCAUUGCAAAGAUGACCAAAGAAAUGCCAAAUGUUGAUAAAGGAGAACCUUUAGCAUUUUUGAAUGAACAUCAGUGCCAAGCUUAUCAUAAAAUCUGCCCUAAGUGUAGCUCUGAAAUCCAACCUGUUGAAGAUGCACAGCUACCAAGUCCUUGAGAUUUUUCAUUCCACUUAAAACAUUUCAGUACAACAGGAAAACAACUGAGAAGCUGCAUACCCAAUCUCAUCCACAUAAGGAAUGCUUGCGUUCAUGCCUUCUUAUAGUAAAGCUUUAGUUCCACAGAGGCGAAUACCCAGGAUAGAGUUUAGCAUUAUCCAGCUUCUUUCAAACCAUUAUUCCAAACUCGUGUGUAUAACUUCCCUUUUAAUGUUUAUGUGCACCCUUGUCUUCUCCCACUCUGGGUCAGGGAUAGCUCAGGAUGCACUCUGUUGCUACUUAAAAUGGAGAAAGAAACCACAGCACCAUCCUCACUGUCUCAGAUAUUAUUUGAUUGACUACAGAAGUGUAGGGUCAGUUAGGGAGAAUCAGUAACCCAGGCAGAGGAAUUUUUAACAUAAUUUUUUCCUUCUAUAAUGCUAUAAUUGAAUGAAGCUUGGAAAUGCAGAGAGAGAAAGACAAGAAUUAUAUAAAUAACUAAAGAAGUGAGGAGAGAAAAGGGAAAGAACACUUUAAAGAAUCGAAAGGGAAAAGGAAUCUAUGUGCAGUUUGAUUUUUAAGGGUCAUUCUUCUUGCUCUUCUUGAAAACUGGAACAAGUCCCUACCUGAUCAGCUGGAACUUAAAAUAAUAGCAAAAGGCUCUUUCUUUUUUAAGGCACUGUAAACAGCACUAUUAACAAGAGCAGGCUGAAUAUAAGCUGUGGAUGCUGCCUCAAUGAAAAGAAGAUAAAAGCAGAAAGACCCACGAGACAGACAAACUUAAGUAAGAAAUUAAUCACUGAGGGCAGCCAUAUCUAUCUAGCCAUGAACUGUCAAAACUUUGACUCUGUUAGCCCACUGACAAGCAUGGAAAGAAUUGCGAUGUGCACUGAAACUAACUCAGUGACUCAAUAGGCCAAAACAGCAGUGUGAAGAUGCUCCUCUAAGAUUGAGCACUUCAACAAGCUUGUACAAUAGCAACAGUUCUCAACAACAUUCUUAAGUGCCCACAGCAGAAGGAACCUGUGAUUCACCCUGGCACAACUUUACUCAUGAGAGAACAGCAGGGACAGCCACAGGACAAUUUUCUUCAAUCACAUUCUUGGGUACACAGAGACUUGCUCAUGCCCUUUGUUCAACAAGUUCUGGAGAUAUUCAGCAGAGCUGCCUGCUGUAGUGUCUUGCUUUGAGUGGGAGCUGAGCUGAAAGAAGUGAAUUCUUUCAUACAAAUCAGGAAAUAGCCAAUGUAGAAGUAACAUUCAGGUAAGUAUUCAUGAGGAGUAUCUGGAGAGGGCGAUGUGAGUCUUGGAUGUAUCAUUUAGAGGUCUCCAAACUUCAAAAUAUAAUGUGCAGUGACAGGUCAAAAAGCCAUCAAAAAAAUGGAUGUUAUUAUGAAUAGUAUGAGAGCAAGACAGAGGGCACCAUGUUGCCUCUAUAUAUAUGGUGCACCCACAAAGUGGACAUUGCAGUUCUGGUCUCCACAUCUCCAGCAGGACAUAGGAGAGUUAGAGAAGAGACACUGAAACUAUUAAGGUUUUGGAGCAUCUGCUUAGCCAAAAAACUGAAAGACAGCUUGGAGAAGGGAAGGCUGAAAGAACAUGUACUUGGGGAUUAGAAAACCAUGAAGGUGGUAGGUAAGGUGAAUGCUGAAUUGUUAUGCACCAAAUCCUGCAGUAUUAGGGGGAAUGCGUUGAAACUAGUAGAUUUAAAACAGACACAGAGCUUACACAAUGGAGACUGAGCUUCUGGGAUUUGUUGCCACAGGAGGCUGUGGGGGCAGACAGUAUCAGAAGACUCAAGAAGGUCCAUUAAAAACUACCAGAGGGAAUAGGCAGGGACAUAUCCUUUAACAACGUUAAUACAACAAUUGCAGAUGCAGGGGAUCUUGAAAGGAUAGGCUUGCAGAGAGCAGCCAGGCUCACAUUCUCUCUCCAAACAGUAUCUAUUGUUGCCAGUGUUGGAAUGAGAAGAAGGGGUUAGAAGAACCACCAGGGGGACUAUUCAGGAAGUGUCCUUAUGUGGUAGUGAGGCACUUCUGUCUAUGCUGUGGAAAGAACAAGAAAGUUCCUGAAGGUGAUUCAGAGCAAAAUAUAACUGCUCCUGCCCUGAGUCACCUUCAGAAAAGCCCAUCUCUUGCCACCCAUUUCAAAGGAAAUCUACCAUAGACAAAAGGAAGUCUUGUGAAUAACCAUGUUUAAUCACAACUGACACAGGUUGGGUUUGAACUGCUGCUCUAGAACAGAGAAAAUUGUCAUAUACAAAAACUUAAUCCAGACACCUCACAGUCAUUUUAGUGAGUGCUUUUAAGAGCAAAAACACUGUAUCAGAUUAUUGGUUAACUUUGAUCACAGGCAAUUGGAAACAUUUCCUCAGCCAGUGAUGUUGAAGUAUCACGUCAUGGUCUGGUUAAGAUGAAAAGUUAAGAAAACAUCUUCUGUAUACAUUAGACUGCUCUCUCAAAGCUGAAUCACUGGGAAAGACUGCCUCUGCUGUCUAGUUGCAAAGCUGGUCUGAAUUGCCCAGGUAUGGCCGGAUGUCCUAACAUUUUUGGGAAGUCUGCUGCAUGUCAGCAUCUGGAAACAGAAACAGGCUGUUAGACUGGAAUUGCCGGAUGACAUCUGACUCAGAAAGAGGGGUGAAAAUCAGGAGGUGAUUCUUUUAUGUCAAAGCCACCCCAGUAGAUUCAUUUGAGCUCUCCAGCUCAUAGACAUGAAAUAACAGCUUAAGGGACAGUUAGGUAUUUCAAUACCUGAUCUCUACAUACAAUGAGCUAUUUGGACAUGCAAAUAUAGACAAAUGUCUUUCAUCUGUAACUCUGGUAACAUAAAUUACCAGAGUUACAGAUGAAAGACAUUUUUAGGCACGUGCUGAAAAUCUGGUCAUCCUAGAGGAAAAAGUUGGUUGUUUCCAAACAUAUUCUGAGAUUCAGUAAUAGACAAGCACACAGUAUGAACUGCACAGAAUCUAAACUUUUCUUUUAAAUAUGUUCUAACUAAAAAGUGAAGCUAAGUAUAAAGGAAAAAAAUUACUGAGCUCUGGAAGCAUGCAUACUUGGUGUGUGUAUAUAUAUAUAUAUAUAUAUAUAUAUAAGCAAUCAGCUGAUUAAUCACUAAGUCCCUUGAAAUAGGUAUGUCACUUUUUUAACUUUGAAUAUAUGAGUGAGGAGUUUGCUGUUCAGGGUUACCAAAGAAAUGUGCAGUCAGGAUGCAAAUGGGAACGUACGGUGCUUCCUAAACUUUUCUUCCUACUUGAUAAAAUAUGUUGCUACCUUUACAUGAAAUGUAAAACACCAAGAUGCACAAAUCCUCAGACAAAAAAUGUUUAGAAUACAGUUAAUUGGUCUGUGGUUGAUCAUUUCAGUAUCUGUACUACUUCUCAGCUCAUCUCCUCCAUGAGUUUUCAGAUACUACCACCGGGACCAUUAUUCACUGAUUCAGUUUAGAAAAUUCUGUUUGUUUCCCUCUCAAGAAGUCUUUGUGAAAAUGACAAGUACAAUAUUAUUAUUGUUUGGACAAGAAAAUUAUUAGCUUUCAAGCUCUAUCUUUUGGUUAAUAAUGUUCAGAAAAGGCAUUUGAAUUGUCCAAGCUUGGGGAACAUUUUGGUAAUGUAAUAUCCAGCCUCUGCAGCUCCCCCUUGGAACUGUUGUCUUAGUGCCUGUAGGACAGAGAAGUUGAAAGCAACGUCAUACACCCCUUAUAUUAUCAGUGCAUAAUCUGUACAACUCACACCAAAAAAAAGUUAUUUUGAGGGAAAGAUCUCAAUGUAUCUGACCUUCUCUCUGAUCACCUGUAGUAAUAUCCUGGGCUGCACAAUGUGCUGUUUCUCUGUAGGGGUAAGAAUUCAAUUUACACUGGAAGUCUUUUCACAGAAGCAUUUCAGUUCAGUUGGUAAACAUUUCCAGGUGGCCAAGUAUAAUUUUAGGAAGGGCAAAUUUGCAGAGGUUAAACAGCAAACAGGACUGUUAUAAGUCUCUCUCAAUUUGAAAAAAGAAAAUGUAAUUAAACACAGCAUUCUCCCACAGAUGAACAAGAGGCUCGGGAUUCUCCACAACAUGUCUAAACUUAUUUGUGUUGUUGCUGGUAAAAUCCAUGCUCCAAAUAUGCAUAAGCUGCUUUUGUAAAGAUGUUCUUUAAUUUGCAAUUAAAAAAAAAAGAUAUCACAAUACUAGUAGAGGAGGCAGAAAAUGUGGAUCAUGCAGCUUUGUGUCGGAAAGACCACUGAGAUAGUUUUUGACCAGUUUUGAGUCUGAGAGUUUGUGCAUUAACAGAGAAAGGGAAGAGCUUGCUGCAGACCAAAAGAAACAUCAUGCAACCGUAAAAUGAAGCAGAAGAGUUAAAAUGGUGGCUUCUGUUCAGAAGUUCCACCAGAAGUGUCCUUUGUUUCAAGGGCUCUUUGUGCUGUCAGACACUGUUAGCCCCUUGUUAGUCACUGCUAGAGAAAAAAACCCUCAGCAGCACACAACGAAGUUUGGUCAGUUUGCUCAGCUGCUGUUGAUGUCACCCGUUGCCCACUAAGAGUAAGUUACUGUAAUAAUCCUCCCCUUUUAUUAAUCAUAACUUUAUGGAAAGCAAGAACUGAGUGACAUCACUGUUGAAGAAGACUGGCUAAAUCAUGCUCAUCUUUAGUCAGCUUUGCUAUAACAUCUCUUGUGUGUCACAUGAAAAUAAUUACUAGCUCUCACUUUCCAUGUCUGACCAAUCAUCCCCCUUUUCCCCCUUUAAGAGGCUACAAGUUUCUGCCUAUUUCAAAUAUCUACUGCAGAUGUAAUCUAUUCAGAGAUGAAAGAGAAUAUCUUUAACUGGAAAUUGGGACAUUCCAGGGGAUCCAUAUAAGAUGAAGUCACUUGCCAUAUAAAACAUUAGUGGUAUUUAUUAUAGUAAAACAUCCUCAUCCAUAGUAUAAUAUAUUGAAGUGUUUUAGACAGAGGCUAUUUCACACUCUUUGGGUGAUUACAGUAUUGGUAAGUUCCAAUAUACAUUUUCUGCACGUUUUUGGAUAACAUAAAAUAUU
Long non-coding RNA from Passer domesticus (house sparrow), 8119 nucleotides. RefSeq lists it as uncharacterized. Lineage: Eukaryota; Metazoa; Chordata; Aves; Passeriformes; Passeridae. The record is from RefSeq and is a predicted model, not a curated record. The transcript is spliced from 13 exons.